This 489-nucleotide ribosomal RNA is filed under the name uncultured bacterium. RNAcentral describes it as "partial 16S ribosomal RNA". It matches the Rfam family "Bacterial small subunit ribosomal RNA", at positions 29 to 506 of the family's 1533-position model. The record is from RNAcentral.
AGUGAACGCUGGCGGCAGGCCUAACACAUGCAAGUCGAACGGUAACACGAAACAACUUUCUGCUUCGCUGAGGAGUGUGGGACGGGGGAGUAAUGUCCGGGGAGCUGCCUUUUGUAGGGGGAUAACUAGUGGAAACGGUAGCUAAUACCGCACAAUGGCCCUAGGCCAAAGAGGGGGAGCUCUUCGCCCCUUGCCCUCUGGAGUGCGCAGAUGGGGGUUGCUUGUUGGGGGGGUAACGGCUCACCAAGGGGACGAUCCCUAGCUGUGCUGAGAGGAUGACCAGCCAAACUGGAACUGAAAAACGGCCCAGACUCCAACGGGGGGAAGCAGUGGGAAAAUUUGAACAAGGGGGGAAAGCCUGAUGCAGCCAUGCCGGGUGGAUGAAGAAGGCCUUCGGGUUGUAAAGUACUUUCAGCGGGAAGAAAGGGAGUAAAGUUAAUACCUUUGCUCAUUGACGUAACCAGAAGAAGAAACACGGGCUAACUCCGU